RNAcentral lists this ribosomal RNA (465 nucleotides) under uncultured Klebsiella sp. RNAcentral's name for it is "bacterial SSU rRNA". It matches the Rfam family "Bacterial small subunit ribosomal RNA", at positions 338 to 795 of the family's 1533-position model. The record is from RNAcentral. Lineage: Bacteria; Pseudomonadati; Pseudomonadota; Gammaproteobacteria; Enterobacterales; Enterobacteriaceae.
CCUACGGGAGGCUGCAGUGGGGAAUAUUGCACAAUGGGCGCAAGCCUGAUGCAGCCAUGCCGCGUGUGUGAAGAAGGCCUUCGGGUUGUAAAGCACUUUCAGCGGGGAGGAAGGCGGUGAGGUUAAUAACCUCAGCGAUUGACGUUACCCGCAGAAGAAGCACCGGCUAACUCCGUGCCAGCAGCCGCGGUAAUACGGAGGGUGCAAGCGUUAAUCGGAAUUACUGGGCGUAAAGCGCACGCAGGCGGUCUGUCAAGUCGGAUGUGAAAUCCCCGGGCUCAACCUGGGAACUGCAUUCGAAACUGGCAGGCUAGAGUCUUGUAGAGGGGGGUAGAAUUCCAGGUGUAGCGGUGAAAUGCGUAGAGAUCUGGAGGAAUACCGGUGGCGAAGGCGGCCCCCUGGACAAAGACUGACGCUCAGGUGCGAAAGCGUGGGGAGCAAACAGGAUUAGAUACCCUUGUAGUC